GGACCUACGGGGCGCAGCAGUGAGGAAUAUUGGUCAAUGGUCGGGAGACUGAACCAGCCAAGCCGCGUGAGGGAUGAAGGUACAGAGUAUCGUAAACCUCUUUUGUCAGGGAACAAAGGCGGGGACGUGUCCCCGGAUGAGUGUACCUGAAGAAAAAGCAUCGGCUAACUCCGUGCCAGCAGCCGCGGUAAUACGGAGGAUGCGAGCGUUAUCCGGAUUUAUUGGGUUUAAAGGGUGCGUAGGCGGUUUUUUAAGUUAGUGGUUAAACGUCGGGGCUUCACCUUGGUUUGCCAUUAAUACUGUAA
RNAcentral lists this ribosomal RNA (305 nucleotides) under uncultured bacterium. Its description in RNAcentral is "bacterial SSU rRNA". It matches the Rfam family "Bacterial small subunit ribosomal RNA", at positions 335 to 638 of the family's 1533-position model. The record is from RNAcentral.